Molecule: long non-coding RNA, 453 nt
Filed under: Cebus imitator (Panamanian white-faced capuchin)
Lineage: Eukaryota; Metazoa; Chordata; Mammalia; Primates; Cebidae
Description: lncRNA (ENSCCAG00000038164.1)
Source: RNAcentral
UGCUCAUUCAAGCACAUCUGUUGUACAUUUUCUGGCAGUUACUGAGAUUUAUAUCCUGGAAGAUACUGCCCCAGGCACAGUCAUUUACCAAGCGGCAGCCAACGACCCAGAGGAUGCUGUUUUGGAGUUUUUCACUGGUUAUUAAAGUGGUUGAUCCUGGAGGACUGUUUACAACUGGAAAUCUAAAGAUUUUUCUCAUCAAUGUAAACAAUAAGGACCCCAUUCUUAGCUGCAGACAAGUUUAUUAAAUAUUGAAAAUGCUGUCUCGAGUGUGACUUCUAUAAACUCAACUCGGCACAAUAAAUUUGACAUCACAUUGGAUGAAGAAAUUCCUAUUGGGAAGAGGAUUGGAGUAUGCCAGGCAACAGAUGAUGAUAACCUGGGGGAUUUAACCUUUGAACUUGAUCCAAGGAAUGAUUACUUUGCAGUUGACAAAGGUAGGUUGAGAAAUGC